GUGAGGACCGGGAACCCUGCGUCUCCCCAGAGCCCGGGCUGGGGAGUCAGAGGUCAGGGGUUCGAAUUCCGCCUCCGCCACUUAGCUGUGUGACUGUGGCCUCCACCCUUGUUUUCAUAUCCUGCACAGCUUCAACGGGAAAUUUUCAGUGAUAAGGUGAUCAUCGUGCAGAAGGACGACGAUAUUAACUUCAAACUCUGAAAGAGAGGAAGAUUCACUUUAAUUCCAUGGUGGAAAAAUAUUAAAAUUGUGGGCCAAAGGCUCUCAGCUGCCCUAGUGUC
This is a long non-coding RNA of Ornithorhynchus anatinus (platypus), 281 nucleotides long. RefSeq lists it as uncharacterized. The transcript is spliced from 2 exons. Lineage: Eukaryota; Metazoa; Chordata; Mammalia; Monotremata; Ornithorhynchidae. The record is from RefSeq and is a predicted model, not a curated record.